Molecule: transfer RNA, 72 nt
Organism: Ovis aries (sheep)
Lineage: Eukaryota; Metazoa; Chordata; Mammalia; Artiodactyla; Bovidae
Rfam family: tRNA
About the family: Transfer RNA (tRNA) molecules are approximately 80 nucleotides in length.
Source: Rfam
UCCCUGGUGGCUCAGAUGGCAAAGCAUCUGCCCGCAGUGCAGGAGACCCGGGUUCGAUCCCUGGGUUGGGAA